This 4760-nucleotide long non-coding RNA is filed under the name Triticum aestivum (bread wheat). RNAcentral describes it as "long non-coding RNA (TAES_LNC017500)". The record is from RNAcentral. Lineage: Eukaryota; Viridiplantae; Streptophyta; Magnoliopsida; Poales; Poaceae.
CGACCGGCGAGCAGCAACCCAUAGUGAUGGCCGGCUCCAUUCGACCAUGACGCGAGCAACGCCGGAGCUCCGGCCUGGCUGCUCCUUCCCCAUGCCCGUCCUACUCAUCCUCCCGUGCUUCUCCACACCAAGCAUGAAGACCACACCAGCAGGCUCUCUUAUGGCGACGACAUGCGCCCGAUACAGAAUCACAAUAUGUGGCGGCGCCGGAUCGAGAACGCGGGGAGACGCUGUCCUGUGGGGAAGAGAAAGAGGAUAACAUGGUAUAAAAUAAAGUAGUCAUUUUUCAUGUAGUGAAACUUUAGUUUUGGGCAAGAUGAUCAAAAAUAAAAAUAGAACUAAUGCAACAGGAGAACCACAUAUGGAGGCACUCAAGUGGACAGACACAACAGUUCAAACAAACCCAAAAAUAUCUCAUUGUUCACCUUAAACCUUCGGAGGUUUAAAGUGCUAGUUGAACUGAAAGGCACCGUUGCUAGGUGACAAAAAAAUCAGUACGCUCUGCAGUAAUUUGAUAUGAUAAAAACCAGUUGGAUAAAGACCAAAUAAAGUUAUUACCUAGCGAAGUUAGGGCUGCCAUAAAAAUCUGAACAGUUCCAUAAGUGGCCUCUUGAUAUUAUAUGAUUCAUAAAGGAACAUGACACAUGAUUGUGCAAAAAUGACUAUUGAUUCAGUGCCACACUACAGGAAAGGGGAUAUCAGUAGUCAUUAGAAUACACAGACUGAUAGAAAUUAUGCACCUGAUAUUACUUGCUACUUCUCUCAUCUAGCUGCAGCUGGUUUAGCAAAGAGAACCCAAUACCCAAAAUCAUGAAAUGGAUGUUCUCUUGGUUAGUAUACAAGACUGCUUAUUAUCUCUGUUGCCACACCACAGAGCAACCAAGCAAAGGGCCAUGGAGCACCUCACAACAAAAGGAACCUGAAACCUACAAACAGAGGAAUGAUUUUUCUUGUAACAUGAACCAUCAAAUUAACUACACUCGGCUGCACAGCAUGCGAUCGCCACCAUAGAAAGGCUACCCUACUACUUAACUCUCUCCAUAAACUACAAAAAAGCAAGAAAAUCAACCCAAACAACAUUGUAGGAACGAUAUAGACAAGACAAAAGAAUCUCAACUUGUUUGCUCUUUUUUAGUUGAGUAACUCCUUCUAGAGUAAAUGGUCAAGCUGGCCGCAAGAAAGAAACACACAAAAAACCCGAGAAUAGUGCACCAACAAGAAGGAAAAAAAUCUACGUAUGGACAAACUGACCGGGUGUGUGCUUCAGGAACCGAAAGAUUUGGGGAGAGAGAGAAGCAUACCUAAUAGAACUUCACAGGCAUGUCAACCCCUUGUUUAUUCUCCAAUUUCAGCCCUAGCAUUGAAGGAAGCCCAACCCUCUCAUGAACAGACUUUAGAGUGAAGCUCAUUGAUGAUGGCACUGUUAGCAGUCAGAAACUGUAUAAGCGAGGCCAUUCCACCUUCUUGGCCCUCUUAAAUAGCUUGUACAUACCUGUUUUAGAGUCAAGAGAAAAAAAUGAUAUCAACUAAGCAUAUCUAAAAUCCAUCAUAAUACAUACAAAGAAUGUGUUACAUCUGAAAUAAAAUGGAACAUGCAAAUUAGAUAGUUACUUAUAAGUGAAAUACCAUUUUAGGUGUGUUUUCACCAAAGAGAUACAGUGAACAGUGAGCAUUGUCCCAGUACACAUUUAUAGGAAUGAAACACACAUAGUUCAGCUGCUAUAUAGGGUAAUAUCUUUAUCUUACUGCUAUUUGGAUCUUUACUAAGUUGAUUAAUUUGCAUCUGUUACAAAGCAUAAGCCUCGACACAGCUCCAUAUAUGCUAUCAGAAAUGGCCUGACAAACAGUAGUUUUGUCGACAACAAAGAUUUGAACUAUUGAUUGCACAGUUCCUAGUAGAGUUUAUGCUACCUUAAAUCCCAGAAUUUUAGGCCAUCCUCUCCAGUAGUGACAAGGGUGUUUGUGUUUUCCUCACUGUCAAAAUGAUAUGGGUCAGACUCAGUGUUUACCCUUUGGAAGGGAAUAGAAGUAUAACACAACUUAGUACCUUACAUAUAUAUCGUGCCCACGAGAGGGCUCUGGUGGGAACAGAUUCAACAGUACCUUAACCAGAAAAGCUAGUUAAUAUAACACACAAACAAAAAAAAGAGAUAUGCAGUACAGGAAAUCCAAUUGUUUGCUCUUUAGCAUGUGAAAGUAAGCAGUUCCUGAGUCAGACAUGUCAUCUGAAUGGCAUAAGUGAUAGAAAACUAUGGAAAGGGAGAUAACAAACCAUUAAAAUGUCUUCUGACGGCAAGUUUGUGGAGACCUCCAUAAAGCAACCUGGAAACAUCAAAAUCCAACCAUGAACUCAGUAUGGCACGUUCUAACAAAACUGGGCAGUCAUCGGAUUUAAACUAAGAAAAUAAUUUUGUACAUGCAAAAAAGAUACCGUUCCAUCAUGACAUCCUUCCAGUAUCAUAUCAUGAGGAGAAGAUGACUAAUCAACAAUCAAGGGAAUGGUGUUUGCCAUUACAAAGAUGGCGCAAGUGCUCCUAUAAGCCGCACAGCUGGUUUGCAACUGCACUCACUUGGUUGAUUAAACCUGAAAGUUUUUUGCAAUAACCUGGAUUAGCCAUGCUAUACAUGAAUAAUGCAAUUAUUAUCCGACUUUAGUUAACUCCAAAUUCUGUACCAGCACAAAGAAUCUAUGAGCCGAAAGAGUUUAGUCUACUGGCCAUAAAGGAACAGGCACAGACCGAAGCAACUGACAGAAGCUCUUUCUUGCAGGCAUGGCACGUCACACAUUUGUUCAUUACUUCAUGUAACUGAGGCCCAAAAGGACAAUAAGCUGACUUGUAUUUUACUUAUGACACUCGCUCUCAACAAAUACAAGGAGAAGAAUUGCACAUAAGUAAUAUAACGGGGAGGAGAAAAUAAUCAAGAUAUAUAGAUUCUGAAGGAGAAGCAGCCAAGAUAAAAGUAAUACAAGCAUUCCCCUAGUGAAAAGCACAAACAACCAUGGUAAACAUAAAGAAGGGGAGGAUCAAGCAGAACACACCUCCACCGAACCGAAGCAGCGGUUGAUCAACAACAGGAACCGCAAGCUCGCAGAUCCACCAACCUAGCAGAUCCUAGACCUUGCAGAACAAGGGCAGACAUAGUAAGCACUAAGCAGCAACCUAGGCGACGAAUGAAACCACAUGAGGAGGAGCAAGAAGAACAUACCUUAAGUACAGGCCGUGGGUCUCUUAUUUCUUUUAUUUUUCAAUGCCUGCAAUAAAAAAAUGAUGGGAUAAUGAGCAGCUAAAAAUCAGAUAAUGUGUAGACUAAAGACUUCAUAUUGCCUAGCAUGAGCACAAAUAGAAAUAUAUCAAUGCCUGCAAUAAAAAAUGAUGCUACAUGAAGAAAAACAACAGAAAGAUUGUGAAACCAAAGUAUAACGAGAAUUAUACUUGCAUUUCAUCAAACAGGUAGUGUGUAUUUAAUUCAUACAAUAGUGUCGGACACAUCCCUCCACGAAAUACUCUUCCUGUGUCCCUUCUCUGCCGUCAAAUCCAUGUCCAAACCACCAAAAUCAGCAAACAUACACAUUCUCAUCCUAUAUGUUGUCUAUUCAACAAGGAAAUUAAAUCUUGGACUCACCAAAUUUCUCAGAGAACGAAAGUAAUCCAACCAAAUACACUGGAUGUAUACAGAGAUCAUGCCUAUUCUUCUUCUUCUCCUACAGGAGCACAACAAUAACAGAGGAGGGGUUGGAGCCGGCCAUGGUUGGGACUUGGAAGACGAAGGAGGCCCGUGGGGAGUGAUCUGAGAGCGCCUCAUCCGUCCAUCGGCAGCAACAACAGCAUACGAACCGGAUCCUCUGCCGCCUUGGCUCGUCGCCUUGCAGCCUCACCCGCCCCCACUGCCAUCGCCAGGAGAUGCCGCCGCAGUGUUCUCCUCCGGCCAGAGGUGACGAGGAGAGAGGAUGUGUGAGGAGGAGAGAUAGGGGUGGCGACGGCAGCGGAUCGAGAGGAUGAAUGGGGAAGGAGAGACUGCGAGCGCCAUGGCCAUGGCCGUCACCUGACCCGCUCGCUCUCCCUCUCCUCUUCCCUUCCCGUCGCCUGACCCGCUCGCUCUCCCUCUUCUCUUCCUUCCCUUCCCUUCUGAAAACGGGAGGGGGGAGGUUGCGGGCGGAGGCUGGCCGGAGGAGACGGGCGCGAGCGGCGGCGGCUGGCCGGGUGGAGGAGACGACGGCGGCGGGGCAGGGAGGCGGGCGCGGUCUAGCUAGGGUUUGGAGGGAGAGAGAGGAGAGGGGCGCGGCGCGAGUGCGGGAUGGGCAGAAGGCUAGGUUACCUCCACUGGAACGGCUGCCUUUUAUACGCCUGGAUGCGAAAUGACGAAAAUGCCCUCGGCGGGACACGAAAAUAACAGGCGGUGGCACGAGCGAUUUAAAGGCGACGUCUUAUUAAUUUGCAUCUGUUACAAAGCAUAAGCCUCGACACAGCUCCAUAUAUGCUAUCAGAAAUGGCCUGACAAACAGUAGUUUUGUCGACAACAAAGAUUUGAACUAUUGAUUGCACAGUUCCUAGUAGAGUUUAUGCUACCUUAAAUCCCAGAAUUUUAGGCCAUCCUCUCCAGUAGUGACAAGGGUGUUUGUGUUUUCCUCACUGUCAAAAUGAUAUGGGUCAGACUCAGUGUUUACCCUUUGGAAGGGAAUAGAAGUAUAACACAACUUAGUACCUUACAUAUAUAUCGUGCCAACGAGAGGGCUCUGGUGGGAACAGAUUCAACAGUAC